This 1413-nucleotide long non-coding RNA is filed under the name Podarcis muralis (Common wall lizard). RNAcentral describes it as "lncRNA (ENSPMRG00000021297.1)". The record is from RNAcentral. Lineage: Eukaryota; Metazoa; Chordata; Lepidosauria; Squamata; Lacertidae.
AUGAUGAACCUUCUGCUUGUUUCUUUCACACAGAGAAAAGCUCCCAGUAACCCUCUCAAAUUAAGCAGAAUAGGAAAGAUCUCUGCACAUCAGAUCAAGAAAUGCCAGCUGACAAUGUGCUGGAGGGAAAGGUGUGGUGCUGCGGUUCCUGUCUUUGGGGUUUGUUUCAGCAGCACCAGAUUGUUGUCUGUCGAGAGAGAGAGAGCAGGGCGAGGAGGGAGUUGGGUCCCCCAGCCGUGGGUGAUCUUUGAAGGAUACGGACAGAGCAUGGAGUCUGCCGCUUUUGUGACAGUUUCCUUCUCGGGGUGUCUUCGUCCUCUGGGUUUCAUGCGCUUGUUUCCUGACUGGCUGGCUUUCCUCUCCUCCUCUGUGAUCUCCAGGGAUCCCACCUGCAGCAAUUCUUUCCUUGGAUCCCCAGCACCACGUCUACAUCAGAGAUGAAAAGGUGAUUCUCACUUGUUUGGCUCCUGGUGGUUUGAAGGUGGCAGGAUACACCUUCUUCAAAGAACAGCAAGAUCGGACCUUCAAGGAGUUGCCCAAUAGUGGAAUGGGGCCUUAUGAGAUGUUCCGUGUCAAUGAAGAUACCAUUAUACCAUUGGGAAUUACAGCUGUGUGUACUGGAUCAUGCCCUCAGGACAGGAAAUCUGGUCCGCACAGAGCAACCUUGUCUUUGUAGCCAUGGUAGGUGAGCAUCCUUGCAUUCUACUGUUUGGCGUUGUCUUGUUAAUUCGCAACACAAGAGGGAGAGGAGCAUUGUGUUCCGAAAGGAUUUCAGACUGCCUUGAAGGUAAUAAGGUACAGUGGCACCUUGGCUCUCGAACUUAAUCCGUUCCGGAAGUCCGUUCGACUACCAAAACCGUUCAAAAACCAAGGCACGGCUUCCAAUUGGCUGCGGGAGCUUCCUGCACUCAAUCUGAAUCCGCGUCGGACGUUCGGUGUCCGAAAAAUGUUCACAAACCGGAACACUUACUUCCGGGUUUGCGGCGUUCAGGAGCCAAUUUGUUCGUCGACUAAGGCGUUCGAGAACCGAGGUACCACUGUACAGUGGUACCUCGGGUUACAGAUGCUUCAGGCUACAGACGCUUCAUGUUACAAACUCUACUAACCCCGAAAUAGUACCUCGGGUUAAGAACUUUGCUUCAGGAUGAGAACAGAACAGAAAUCGCUCAGUGGCAGUGGGAGGCCCCAUUAGCUAAAGUGGUGCUUCAGGUUAAGAACAGUUUCAGGUUAAGAACCAACUUCCAGAACGAAUUAAGUUCUUAACCAAAGGUAAAGGUAAAGGGACCCCUGACCAUUAGGUCCAGUCGUGGCCAACUCUGGGGUAGCGGCGUACAGCUUCCGGGUCAUGUGGCCAGCAUGACUAAGCCGCUUCUGGCGAACCAGAGCAGCGCACGGAAACGCCGUUUACCUUCC